Molecule: ribosomal RNA, 787 nt
Filed under: Brachybacterium squillarum
Lineage: Bacteria; Bacillati; Actinomycetota; Actinomycetes; Micrococcales; Dermabacteraceae
Description: bacterial SSU rRNA
Rfam family: Bacterial small subunit ribosomal RNA
Source: RNAcentral
ACCUGCCCCCCACUCUGGGAUAACUCCGAGAAAUCGGGGCUAAUACCGGAUACGAGCUCCUGCCGCAUGGCGGGUGCUGGAAAGUUUUUCGGUGGGGGAUGGACUCGCGGCCUAUCAGUUUGUUGGUGAGGUAAUGGCUCACCAAGGCGAUGACGGGUAGCCGGCCUGAGAGGGCGACCGGCCACACUGGGACUGAGACACGGCCCAGACUCCUACGGGAGGCAGCAGUGGGGAAUAUUGCACAAUGGGCGAAAGCCUGAUGCAGCGACGCCGCGUGGGGGAUGACGGCCUUCGGGUUGUAAACCUCUUUCAGUAGGGAAGAAGCGAAAGUGACGGUACCUGCAGAAGAAGCGCCGGCUAACUACGUGCCAGCAGCCGCGGUAAUACGUAGGGCGCAAGCGUUGUCCGGAAUUAUUGGGCGUAAAGAGCUUGUAGGUGGCUUGUCGCGUCUGCCGUGAAAACCCGAGGCUCAACCUCGGGCGUGCGGUGGGUACGGGCAGGCUAGAGUGUGGUAGGGGAGACUGGAACUCCUGGUGUAGCGGUGAAAUGCGCAGAUAUCAGGAAGAACACCGAUGGCGAAGGCAGGUCUCUGGGCCAUUACUGACACUGAGAAGCGAAAGCAUGGGGAGCAAACAGGAUUAGAUACCCUGGUAGUCCAUGCCGUAAACGUUGGGCACUAGGUGUGGGGAACAUUCCACGUUUUCCGCGCCGUAGCUAACGCAUUAAGUGCCCCGCCUGGGGAGUACGGCCGCAAGGCUAAAACUCAAAGGAAUUGACGGGGGCCCGC